CAAUAGCAUAUAUGAAUGUUGUUGCAGUUAAAACGCUCGUAGUCGAUAACGUCAGCCAACACCAGUUCAGUCUGGUGAUUGGCAGGACCAAAUAUCAUAGUGCAAAGAGGGCUCCUUGAGUCUUGGUUGGCAGACGAAUCAAUUGGCAUUCAGAUCAAAACGAUUCAGAGUCAUUACCUUGAAUGAAACAGAGUUCUCAAAGCAGUGCUUUUGCACAGUGAAUGAUCAAGCAUGGGAUAAUACAUACCACUAUAUGUGUUGGUACUAUUCACCAAUUCUACAAGUGAUUAAUAGGAACAGUUGAGGGUUCUAGUACUGAAUGGCGAGAGGUGAAAUUCUUAGACCCAUUCAAGACUACCUAAGGCGAAAGCAUUUACCAAGGAUGUUUNCUUUGA
RNAcentral lists this ribosomal RNA (395 nucleotides) under uncultured eukaryote. RNAcentral describes it as "partial 18S ribosomal RNA". It matches the Rfam family "Eukaryotic small subunit ribosomal RNA", at positions 592 to 976 of the family's 1831-position model. The record is from RNAcentral.